This 431-nucleotide ribosomal RNA is filed under the name uncultured bacterium. RNAcentral describes it as "partial 16S ribosomal RNA". It matches the Rfam family "Bacterial small subunit ribosomal RNA", at positions 29 to 507 of the family's 1533-position model. The record is from RNAcentral.
AACGAACGCUGGCGGCAGGCCUAACACAUGCAAGUCGAGCGCCCCGCAAGGGGAGCGGCGGACGGGUGAGUAACGCGUGGGAAUAUGCCCUUUGCUACGGAAUAGUCUCGGGAAACUGGGGGUAAUACCGUAUACGCCCUUUGGGGGGAAGAUUUAUCGGCGAAGGAUUAGCCCGCGUGGGAUUAGGUAGUUGGUGGGGUAAUGGCCUACCAAGCCGACGAGCCAUAGCUGGUGUGGGAGGAUGAUCCGCCACACUGGGACUGAGACACGGCCCAGACCCGUACGGGAGGGAGGAGUGGGGAAUCUUAGACAAUGGGGGCAACCCUGAUAUAGCCAUGCCGCGUGAGUGAUGAAGGCCUUAGGGUUGUAAAGCUCUUUCAGCUGGGAAGAUAAUGACGGUACCGGCAGAAGAAGCCCCGGCUAACUACGUG